AAUAAGAACAUUUUUCAGUUUUUUGAUACAUUGUUUUGACUCUUCAUCUUAUUUAAAAUUUUUUUGCGAUUAACAUUUUUAUUCUUACUAGAUAAUAAAACAUAAAUAGUAUUUUAUGCUUGAUUAAUUUUUUUAAAUUUUUAUAAAAUUUUUUCAAAUAAAACGAAUAGUCAAACAUUAGACACGGAAAACAAAAAAUAAAGUUAUU
RNAcentral lists this microRNA precursor (208 nucleotides) under Oryza brachyantha (malo sina). RNAcentral's name for it is "MIR812 microRNA precursor family". It matches the Rfam family "MIR812 microRNA precursor family". Lineage: Eukaryota; Viridiplantae; Streptophyta; Magnoliopsida; Poales; Poaceae. The record is from Rfam by way of RNAcentral.